Molecule: long non-coding RNA, 533 nt
Organism: Nicotiana attenuata
Lineage: Eukaryota; Viridiplantae; Streptophyta; Magnoliopsida; Solanales; Solanaceae
Exons: 2
Source: RefSeq, a predicted model, not a curated record
GCAUUAGGAGAAAAUAACGCAAAAGCUAAAGGAAUUUUGGGGGAAGGAAACGCAGCACAUAUGCUGCGAUUGAAGCAGAAGCUAAGAAAAAAAAUCUUUCUACCAGAGAAGGAAACUUUAGGAUCAGUUAAUUUAAGUUUGAAGCCCCAAUAUCGUGAUUCUUGAUUCAAGGGAUUUCCUGUGCAUCGUUGGAUUUCUUUCUGUAGAGAAGAACAAGAGACAACAGUUGAAGGGCGAGGAUUUCGUUAGUCAGACGAACAAGUUGAUAGUUUCUGGUGAGCCUCGCAUUUGUUCGCGUGGGCGGAGAUUUUAUUUAUUGUUAUAGUCUUUUCUUUGAACUCUUAGAGUCGCUCCAUAGUCAAAUUUUUUAGUUUCUUGAGUAUUCUUCAUUAUUAUAGAUUUAUGUUGAGUAUCGCUCAUUCUUAUCAAAUUUGGAGAUAAAGUAGUAUUUCUAGUUAUUGGUGGGUGGACUAUUAAAGGUAGAUAUUUAUUUUUGUUAAUUGAUAAGGUCAUUGUCAUUUGAAUUGCUAUUA